RNAcentral lists this long non-coding RNA (1517 nucleotides) under Mytilus galloprovincialis (Mediterranean mussel). The record is from RNAcentral. Lineage: Eukaryota; Metazoa; Mollusca; Bivalvia; Mytilida; Mytilidae.
UUUAAGUUAAUAGAAAUCUAUGAAAUUUAAACACACGGUUAAUUACCACAAAAGAAAGGUUGGGAUUGAUUUUGAGAGUUUUGGUCCCAACAGUUUAGGAAUGAGGGGCCAAAAAAGAGCCCAUUUAGGCAUUUUUCUUGGUUUUCACACAAUAACUUUAGUAUUAGUAAAUAUAAAUCUAUGAAAUUCAAACACAAGGUUUAUGAACACAACAGAAAGGUUGGGAUUGAUUUUGGGAGUUUUGGUCCCAACAGUUUAGGAAUUAGGGGCCAAAAAGGGGCCCAAUUAAGCAUUUUUCUUGGUUUUCGCACCAUAACUUUAGUAUAAGUAAAUAGAAAUCUAUGAAAUUUAAACACAAGGUUUAUGACCAUAAAAGGAAGGUUGUGAUUGAUUUUGGGAGUUUUGGUCCCAACAGUUUAGUAAUUAAGGACCCAAAACAUGCAAAAGGUCAAAAUUAAACUUUGUUUGAUUUCAUCAAAAUUGAAUAAUUGGGGUUGUUUGAUAUGCCGAAUCUAACUGUGAAUGUAGAUUCUUAAUUUUUGGUCCCGUUUCAAAUUGGUCUACAUUAAGGUCCAAAGGGUCCAAAAUUAAACUUAAUUUGAUUUUAACAAAAAAUGAUUUUUGGGGGUUCUUUGAUAUGCUGAAUCUAACCAUGUAUUUAGAUUUUGGAUAUUGGACCAUAAUAGGUAAAUGUCCAAUUUUUAAGUUUUUAAGUUUAAGUUCUUAGACCACAUUCAUUCUGUGUCAGAAAACUAUGUUGUGUCAACUAUUUAAUCACAAUCCAAAUUCAGAGCUGUAUCAAGCUUGAAUGUUGUGCCCCAACUGUUCAGGGUUCGAACUCUGCUGUCGUAUAAAGCUGUGCCCUAUGGAGCAUAUGGUUUAAGGUUAACAGAUGACGAACUUCAUGGGAUUGCAAUAGCCGGGCCAACCUGGCUUAUGGAAAGGCAAGAUAGAUAUGGCCCUAACAAUUGUAAGAAUUUUUUUAAUUUCUUAUGGCACACAUCCGUCUGAGAUGUUAUUCCACCAGCAUAAAUCACAAAAUUGACCCGUAACAUAAUAUUUACAAACCAAUAAUAGAAUCAUUUGGUCAAAGCAUUUCUAAACUGAAACUGAAGUGUGAUGGACGGGCGGAUAGACGGACAGGCAAAUUGAACACAUUUUAAGUUGGUGGUGAUUUAAAAAAUAAUAAUAGUCAAUGGGUGAUCACUAAUAUCGGAAGUCCAGUAUAAUGGAAUCCUCUUAAUAUAUACAUGUAGCUAUUAACAUAUCAUUAAUAACAGCUUUGUUGUACUACUAUCCCGCAAUUGGAAUUCAGGAUCUCCGAGAUAGACAAAUAGAAUACAUCUGCAGAGCUCCAGAUAAGCUGCGUAUUUGCGUGAUCACGCAAUAAAAAUAAUAAAAAAACCAAUGCAAUUGCCCAUUGCAGGGUUCAAUAACCCAAUUAUUUCAAAGGAAAACCCAAUUAUAUGCCCAAACCAUGAGUUCUCGACCUUUUAAUUGGCUACUGUUUGCGUUAU